GCUGGGAUUACAGGUGCCUGCCAUCACACCUGGCUAAUUUUUGUAUUUUUAGUAGAGACGGGGUUUCACCAUGUUGGCCAGGCUGGUCUCAAACUCCUGACCUUGUGAUCUGCCCACCUAGACCUCUCAAAGUGUUGUGAUUACAGGCGUGAGCCACAGCGCCCACCCUACAGAGAGGAAAUUUUAAGGAAAUGUCUGCUUUGAAUACUCAAUAAAAUAUAAGACAAAACCAAAAAUGAUACAGUGUGCUGAAAUUCUGACAGCAAUGAUAAAAGAAUUUUCAAGGAACUGAAAUCCAGUGACAAAAAUGAAAUCGAUCAAGGCUGUAGUUGCACACCUGAGACAUUCCUCGAGAAGGCAGAGGAGAAAGGUGUGAAAAACAGUGAACCAGAGAAGGAUGGCCAGGGACAACAAAGAUUGGAGCUCGGAAGUUGAAUGACAGAUAUUCUGGAGAAACACACCAGAGAUGACAAAAGGGUUUGUCAAACACAGCCCAACUCAACUGGAGUCCUGAGAAGGUGACCAGACCAGGAUGGAGGCCCAGGGAACUCACCAGAAGUCCCCAUGCAUCAGAACAAGGUCGAAGCAUCCUGUAAGUUUUGCUGCUAAUCACUUUGGAUUUUCACUGCAUUUAUGAGCUGUGACAUUCACUGUGAAGGUUUAAGGUUUUGCUGUUGAAGCUGGCAAAACCACAAAACCACCAAGAGAAACUAACAGUUCCACAGGCACUGUCUUAAGAGCUGUAACACCCACCAUGAAGGUCUGCAGUUUCACUCCUGAGCCAGCGAGACCAUGAACCCAGCGCAAGGAAAAAAGUGCAAGUACAUCCGAACUUCAGAACAUCAGAAAGAAGAAACUCUGGACAGGCCCCCUUUAAGAACUGUGACACCACCUGCGAGGGUCUGCGGCUUCAUUCUUGAAGUCAGCCCAAGAACCCACCGAUUUUAGACACACUGGGUUCAAGCGAUUUUCCUGCCUCAGCCUUCCAAGUAGCUGGGAUUACAGGUGUCCACCACCACGCCGGGAACCUUCCAGGUCUGAGCUGAGGUGUCAUCUCUGAACACCAGGCUGCUGCACUAACCAGAAGACCCCUCCCCACCUGCAGUGGCCUCGCUGCAUCGUAAGGAUGGAGGAGCUGUUGUCUCCACAGCUGACAGGUGCUUAGUGGUUAGAAGUCUGGUUUUCGCGCGGCUUAGAUCUUUAACAUCUGAACUAGUCCUGUCAACAUAUUUUGUUAUAUUUCUGGUGGCUUUGUCUUUGAUGCUAUUAUAAAUGAUUAUCUUUUAAAAUAAUACUUUGAUGAUAUAUAGAAAUGAAAUUGAUUUAUUUGACUGUAUCCAGCAACCUUUUCAAAUUCUAAUAAAUUGUGUAGGGAAAAAAAAGUCUGGCUUCGGAGUCAGAACGGAAUUGAAUCCUGCCUCCACCACUUCCUACCUAUAUGACCUGGUGAAACUUAUCCCUCUCUGUGACUCAGUUUCCUCAUCUGUAAAAUGGGAAAAUUGAAAGCAACUAACAGGUUUGGGGCCGUUUUGCUUGCUGCUGCUGUGGCUUCAGUGCUGAGGCCUGGCACUCAGCGGGAUGUCAGCCCAGGACUGGAGCUUCUUUCUCAUGGUAUUAUUUUGAAUUUAGAUGAAAAGAGGUAUUCCAGGAGAGCUCCUGGCACAGGGCCUGGCAGGUGGCACAUCCUCAGUAAAUGUGAGCUGCUGUCAGCUGCUGUGUGAGUGCCUGGUGUGGCCCUGUUGUCCCCUUGAGGGUUGGGGGACAAAACAGGCCCUCAGGAAGCCUGCCUGUGUAUUCGGGGGCUGGGGAGAUCUCUGACCUCCUGUCUCCUAGCUCCACCAGCAUCUCUCACCUCCCCCAGCAAUGUACAACCCCUUCUUUUCCCAUAGCUUAGGCCCCUGAGGUACCAGCCCCCCAGCCUAGGGACAGCCCAGUGGCAAACUCCUGGUGACCUGGGUCAAGCUGCUGUUCUCCAAUCCCAACUCGGCUCUUCCCGUGACUUGGCCCCCAGGCCUUGGGUGAGGCUCCGAUGAAAUAACACACAGGAAUGUGCGCUGAACACUGCCAAGCACUGCAGGUGGGCAGGGGCUUUGUGCUCCCCAGCGACUGUUCCUAUCCUGCGGGAAUGGAGGAGACCGACAAAGAAGCCCCACUCCUGGGCUGACAUCCUGCCAGUGCCAGCCGGGCCUCAGCACCAGUGGGUCAGCCAGAACAGCAACGACGAACAAUGAGGCCCCAAACCCGUGGGCCCCCCACUUUCUAUCUUGAAUUUCUCUGUCUUUCCUAGGCCAGCAAUGUUUGAGAGGGAGAGCGAGCUGAAGAUUUCCUGAUUUCAGAUAGGCCUAGAGAAGGAUUGUAAUUUUCUAGUGUGAAAAGGAAGUGGCACAAAGAUGAGGGCAAUGAAGAAGAUGGUUCAAUGGAAGUACCAGGGUCCUGUAAAUAGGGAACGUGUUUUAUGAUCAAACCGUUCUUUGCAUUUUUGGUGAUUUUGAGGUUUAAUUUCCUCUAUGUAGUUAGUUAACUAUUUAACACUGAGAGCAGGGGUAGGGAUAAGGCAAACAACAAAAAAGCCAAAAUGAAACCAACUUCUGUGGGGUUUCCCCACCCCAGGGAGGUGGAGGCUGAGGUAGAACUGACUGAGAGAAUCACCCUCCCUGCACUGUGAUGAAGACACAUCCACACAUCAGGACUACACAGCUGGCAGGUGCUGGCUGUCCAGAGGAGCAAACAGCUUCUUCCUUGUGUUUCUGUGUCUCUUAGUAGAAAUCUGUGCCCUUGGGAGAAAACUGAAUUUGCACCCCUUGAGGCAAACACUUGACCAAAUGAAUUAGGCAGAUGGGUGGAUGGGUGGGUGAAUGGGCAGGAGGUGUGACAGGCAGGAGGCGUGACAGGGAAAGAACACUGUUCUGACAGGCACACACUGCCACAUCUGCCCUCCCAACAACCCCGAUACAGACACUGUUGUUAACCCUCCUUUUACAGAUGAGGAAACUGAAGUUAAUUUGCUCGUGGUAACACAGCUAGGCAAGUGGCUACGUUCAGCUGGAGAAAAGGAAAAUUCUGAAAGACUUUAGGAUACAUCUUAUUCAAAAGCAUUUGGUGAACAUAAAUAUGUACCCAAGGUAUAAUAUUAAGUGAACCAAGCUUGUUAUAAAGCAGUAUGAGUCCUGUCUGAUUCCAACUUUAUAAAAAAUAGAUGCAUAUGUCAAUAAAUGCACAGAAAAGGGUAUACCCUAAAAUGUUAAUAAUGGUGAUCUCUGGGUUAUGACACAAAAUAUUGAUUGGUCUUUGGGCUUUUCUUUAAUUUUAAAAUGUUAAUAGACAUGUAUUAUCUUAAUAAUGGGAGGAGCCACAGAAAAAGUGCUUUUCAAAAACAUGAAAUCAAUAAGCCCAUGCAGGACCUGCAGGGGGCUGCAGUCACCUGGGCCUCAUAGGCUUGGCAAAGGCUUUAGUUAUGCCCUGAUUGGAGGCCACUGGCAUGGAGAAGCUGUAGGUCAGCUAACUGGAACUAGGACAUCCAAUGUGAUUGGUUAUGUGUGCAUAUUUGUCUUUCUUCAUUGGGUCCUAAGUUGCAAGCAGGCGCAAAAAUUAAGGAAGCUGUGAGUCAAUGAAGUCCUGGCUGUUUUUCAGCUGGUUGCUAUAGGGUUGUUUUUUGACUUUCUAGACUGGUUGCUGUAGAGGUGGGUCAGAGUUUUACUUUCAUCUAUGGUCUGGCCAUUGUAUUUGUAUAUUCAGUCUCUUAGUCACCCCUUUUGGUCAUUCGCUUACUUUCAAGAGGUUGGCCAAUUCAAGGAAAGCUGGAAAUCUAGCUCUUUAUCACUCAGAGAUUAUUCAGUAAACUCCAUAUAAAACUGUAUUGCAAAAUAUUCCUGACCUUUUUGUUUUUGUAUCAUCAUGGUGAUUUUGACUAGAGAGCAGAUGUGCAGAAGCUUUUAAGAAUCUAGAUAGCACGCAGCAUCAUGUCCACUCUUACAAAGCCAGAAUAAUUAAUAGUUCCUAUAAGGUGAUUUGGAACCAGGAACCUCAAUUGCCAAAUCAAGGCCAAAAUAACAAAUUUGAUAGAUUAUGGGAUCAACCUUAGCCAAAUAGCUUAUACCAUGAAACAAUAUAUAAUAGUUCCAACUUGCUUGUUUCUUUGAUCCAAGGACAAGAAGUAUGAGCAACGGCACAGACACCAGGAUGACUAAAAGAAAAAAAAAAAAAAAACCUAGGGUAAUGUUAUUGUCUAUCACUGCCCAUGCCAAUGAGUUGAGAUUGUUCUGUAUUUGUAUCUAGGACAAAGGCAAUAUCAUCAAUAACUUCUGCCAGAGUGAGUAUCUUAGUCCAUUCAGGCUGCUGUACUAAAAUACCAUAAUUUGGGUGGCUUAUAAAGAAUAGAAAUGUAUUUCUUUCAGUUCUAGAAACUGAGAAAAUCAAGAUAAAGACGCCAGCAGACUCGAGGCCAGGUGUGAUAGCUCAUGCCUGUAAUCCCAGAACUUUGGGAGGCUGAGGUGGGUGGAUCACCUGAGGUCUGGAGUUCAAGAC
Molecule: long non-coding RNA, 4524 nt
Filed under: Homo sapiens (human)
Lineage: Eukaryota; Metazoa; Chordata; Mammalia; Primates; Hominidae
Description: HSALNT0391219
Source: RNAcentral